CCGGCGAACGGGUGCGUAACACGUGAGCAACCUGCCGCGCUCAGGGGGAUAGCCGGCCCAACGGCCGGGUAAUACCGCAUACGCUCGAGGUCUCACCUGGGACUUCGAGGAAACCUCCGGGGGAGCGCGAGGGGCUCGCGGCCUAUCAGCUAGUUGGUGGGGUCACGGCUUACCAAGGCGACGACGGGUAGCUGGUCUGAGAGGAUGGCCAGCCACAUUGGGACUGAGAGACGGCCCAG
Molecule: ribosomal RNA, 239 nt
Filed under: uncultured bacterium
Lineage: Bacteria
Description: partial 16S ribosomal RNA
Rfam family: Bacterial small subunit ribosomal RNA
Source: RNAcentral